GAGAAUGCCGGUGUGAGUAGCGAAAACAGAGGUGAGAAUCCUCUGCACCGAAAGCCUACGGUUUCCUGAGGAAGGCUCGUCCGCUCAGUGUUAGUCGGGACCUAAGCCGAUGCCGAAAGGCGUAGGCGAUGGACAACAGGUUGAUCUUCCUGUACCACCUCCUCACCGAUUGAGCAAUGGGGGGACGCAGGAGGAUAGGGUCAGCGCGCGACUGGUUGUGCGCGUCCAAGCAGUUAGGCGCCUCAAGUAGGCAACUCCGCUUGAGUAGGCUGAGCUGUGAUGGCGAGGGCAAUAAAGUACCGAAGUGCCUGAUUCCACACUGCCAAGAAACGCCUCUAGCGAGGUGAGAGGUGCCCGUACCGCAAACCGACACAGGUAGGCGAGGAGAGAAUCCUAAGGUGCGCGGGAGCACUCUCGUUAAGGACCACGCCAAAAUGA
This 438-nucleotide ribosomal RNA is filed under the name Anoxybacillus flavithermus. RNAcentral describes it as "partial 23S ribosomal RNA". It matches the Rfam family "Bacterial large subunit ribosomal RNA", at positions 1290 to 1725 of the family's 2925-position model. The record is from RNAcentral. Lineage: Bacteria; Bacillati; Bacillota; Bacilli; Caryophanales; Anoxybacillaceae.